UGGAGCAUGUGGUUUAAUUCGAUGCAACGCGAAGAACUUACCUGGUCUUGACAUCCACAGAACUUUCCAGAGAUGGAUUGGUGCCUUCGGGAACUGUGAGACAGGUGCUGCAUGGCUGUCGUCAGCUCGUGUUGUGAAAUGUUGGGUUAAGUCCCGCAACGAGCGCAACCCUUAUCCUUUGUUGCCAGCGGUCCGGCCGGGAACUCAAAGGAGACUGCCAGUGAUAAACUGGAGGAAGGUGGGAUGACGUCAAGUCAUCAUGGCCCUUACGACCAGGGCUACACACGUGCUACAAUGGCGCAUACAAAGAGAAGCGACCUCGCGAGAGCAAGCGGACCUCAUAAAGUGCGUCGUAGUCCGGAUUGGAGUCUGCAACUCGACUCCAUGAAGUCGGAAUCGCUAGUAAUCGUGGAUCAGCAUGCCGCGGUGAAUACGUUCCCGGGUCUU
This 447-nucleotide ribosomal RNA is filed under the name uncultured Enterobacteriaceae bacterium. RNAcentral describes it as "bacterial SSU rRNA". It matches the Rfam family "Bacterial small subunit ribosomal RNA", at positions 933 to 1382 of the family's 1533-position model. The record is from RNAcentral. Lineage: Bacteria; Pseudomonadati; Pseudomonadota; Gammaproteobacteria; Enterobacterales; Enterobacteriaceae.